This is a transfer RNA of Vitrella brassicaformis, 73 nucleotides long. It matches the Rfam family "tRNA". Rfam says of the family: Transfer RNA (tRNA) molecules are approximately 80 nucleotides in length. Their secondary structure includes four short double-helical elements and three loops (D, anti-codon, and T loops). Further hydrogen bonds mediate the characteristic L-shaped molecular structure. tRNAs have two regions of fundamental functional importance: the anti-codon, which is responsible for specific mRNA codon recognition, and the 3' end, to which the tRNAs corresponding amino acid is attached (by aminoacyl-tRNA synthetases). tRNAs cope with the degeneracy of the genetic code in two manners: having more than one tRNA (with a specific anti-codon) for a particular amino acid; and 'wobble' base-pairing, i.e. permitting non-standard base-pairing at the 3rd anti-codon position. Lineage: Eukaryota; Vitrellaceae. The record is from Rfam.
GACUACGUGGCCUAAUGGAUAAGGCGUCCGGCUUCGGACCGGGAGAUUGCAGGUUCGAGUCCUGUCGUGGUCG